AGUGAACGCUGGCGGUAUGCCUAACACAUGCAAGUCGAACGGCAGCACAGUAAGAGCUUGCUCGUACGGGUGGCGAGUGACGGACGGGUGAGGAAUACAUCGGAAUCUACUUUUUCGUGGGGGAUAACGGAGGGAAACUGACGCUAAUACCGCAUACUACCUACGGGUGAAAUCAGGGGGUCUUCGGACCUUGCGCGAUUGAACGAGCCGAUGUCGGAUUAGCUAGUUGGCGGGGUAAAGGCCCACCAAGGCGACGAUCCGUAGCUGUCCUGAGAGGAUGAUCAGCCACACUGGAACUGAGACACGGCCCAGACUCCUACGGGAGGCAGCAGUGGGGAAUAUUGGACAAUGGGCGCAAGCCUGAUCCAGCAAUACCGCGUGGGUGAAGAAGGCCUUCGGGUUGUAAAGCCCUUUUGUUGGGAAAGAAAAGCAGCAGGUUAAUCUCCCGCUGUUCUGACGGUACCCAACGAAUAAGCCACGGCUAACUUCGUG
This 492-nucleotide ribosomal RNA is filed under the name uncultured bacterium. Its description in RNAcentral is "partial 16S ribosomal RNA". It matches the Rfam family "Bacterial small subunit ribosomal RNA", at positions 29 to 507 of the family's 1533-position model. The record is from RNAcentral.